RNAcentral lists this transfer RNA (72 nucleotides) under Camelus bactrianus (Bactrian camel). It matches the Rfam family "tRNA". Rfam says of the family: Transfer RNA (tRNA) molecules are approximately 80 nucleotides in length. Their secondary structure includes four short double-helical elements and three loops (D, anti-codon, and T loops). The record is from Rfam by way of RNAcentral. RNAcentral also lists the same sequence under 2 other names. Lineage: Eukaryota; Metazoa; Chordata; Mammalia; Artiodactyla; Camelidae.
GAGGGUAUAGCUCAGCGGGAGAGUGCGUGCUUAGCAUGCAUGAAGCCCUGGGUUCAAUCCCCAGUACCUCCA